AGUGAACGCUGGCGGUAGGCCUAACACAUGCAAGUCGAACGGCAGCACAGUAAGAGCUUGCUCUUACGGGUGGCGAGUGGCGGACGGGUGAGGAAUACAUCGGAAUCUACUUUUUCGUGGGGGAUAACGUAGGGAAACUUACGCUAAUACCGCAUACGACCUACGGGUGAAAGCAGGGGAUCUUCGGACCUUGCGCGAUUGAAUGAGCCGAUGUCGGAUUAGCUAGUUGGCGGGGUAAAGGCCCACCAAGGCGAAGAUCCGUAGCAGGUCCGAGAGGAAGAUCAGCCACACGGGAAGUGGGGCACGGUGCAGACUCCUACGGGAGGCAGCAGUGGGGAAUAUUGGACACUGGGCGAAACCCUGAUCCAGCCAUAUCGCGUGGGGGAAGAAGGGCUUUGGGUUGUAAAACCAUUUUGUUGGGAAAGAAAAGCAGCAGGUUAAUACCCCGCUGUUCAGACGGUACCCAAAGAAUAAGCACCGGCUAACUUCGU
Molecule: ribosomal RNA, 491 nt
Filed under: uncultured bacterium
Lineage: Bacteria
Description: partial 16S ribosomal RNA
Rfam family: Bacterial small subunit ribosomal RNA
Source: RNAcentral